ACUCCUACGGGAGGCAGCAGUGGGGAAUAUUGCACAAUGGGGGAAACCCUGAUGCAGCCAUGCCGCGUGUGUGAAGAAGGCCUUCGGGUUGUAAAGCACUUUCAGUAGGGAGGAAGGUAGUGUAGUUAACACCUGCAUUAUUUGACGUACCUACAGAAGAAAGCACCGGCUAACUCCUGCCAGCAGCCGCGGUAAUACGGAGGGUGCGAGCGUUAAUCGGAAUUACUGGGCGUAAAGCGCAUGCAGGCGGCCUGUUAAGUCAGAUGUGAAAGCCCGGGGCUUAACCUCGGAAUUGCAUUUGAAACUGGCAGGCUAGAGUCUUGUAGGAGGGGGUAGUAAUUUAUCAGGGUGUAGCGGUGAAAUGCGUAGAGAUCUGAAGG
RNAcentral lists this ribosomal RNA (380 nucleotides) under uncultured bacterium. Its description in RNAcentral is "bacterial SSU rRNA". It matches the Rfam family "Bacterial small subunit ribosomal RNA", at positions 335 to 704 of the family's 1533-position model. The record is from RNAcentral.